GCGUCGGUGGUGCGACGGUUAGUAUACGCUCCUGGAAAGAGUGAAGUCUGGAUUCGAAUCCCAGCUGACGCA
Molecule: non-coding RNA, 72 nt
Organism: Parelaphostrongylus tenuis
Lineage: Eukaryota; Metazoa; Nematoda; Chromadorea; Rhabditida; Metastrongylidae
Source: the annotation of a GenBank genome assembly